RNAcentral lists this long non-coding RNA (2368 nucleotides) under Mus musculus (house mouse). RNAcentral describes it as "long non-coding RNA chr14:21204202-21206570". Lineage: Eukaryota; Metazoa; Chordata; Mammalia; Rodentia; Muridae. The record is from RNAcentral.
CUUACUAUUAAGUAUGGUGAUGAUUCUGGUUUUUACAAAUGUGUUAGUCAGAUUAAAGAAAUUGCCUUCUGUUCCUAGGAUUUAGAGUGUUUUUAUUGUGAAGCAGUUUUGAAUUUUACCAGAGGCUUUUUUAAAACCUGAUUUUGUGUAUGCAUUCAUGCCCAUGUCUGUCUGUCUGUCUGUCUGUCUGUCUGUCUCUCCCUCUCCCUCUCUCUCUCUCUCUCUCUCUCUCUCUCUCUCUCUCACUUGUAUAUGUGUGUGCAUGUGUUUUCUUUUUUAUUGAUAUGGCUUAUUGCAUUGAUUGAUUUUUCAGUUAUUUUAUUUAUUUGUUAUUUUAUGUGAAUGAAUAUUUUGCAUGCAUGUAUGUCUGUGCACCACCUGUGUUACUGGUCCCUGAGGAGGCCAAAAGAAGUAGUCAGGUCCCUCACACUAGAAUUGCAGAAGGCUGUGAACCGCCAUCCUGAGCUUAGGGUUUAAAUGAGGUCUUCUGGAAAAGCAGCUGAACCACCUCUCCAGCCCUUGAUUUUUAGGUUUGUUUUUAAUUAUUAUUUAUUUUUAUUGGCUAUUUUAUUUAUUUUAAUUUCAAAUGUUAUCCCCCUUCCAAGUUUCCCCUCUAAAAACCUCCCUCCACACCCGCCCUACCUCUUUGAGGGUGCUCCCACACCUACCCACCCACUCCUACCUCAGUGCCCCAGCAUUUCCCCACCCUAGAUUCAGCUCUUAAACUAGCUUUGCAUUCCUCUAAUAAAUUCCAUUUCAACAUGCCUUAAUUAUCUUCAUGUGUUGAUGAAUUUGUUUUGUUAAUUUUUUGGUGGUAAUUUUUCUAUGUUGCAUAUAGGUUAAAUUGUUCUAUCGUUUCUUUUUCUUAAUGACUUUUUUUUUGGUUUGACUCUGAUAGCACAGUGAUAUUAGCUUCAUAAAAUGUGUUGAUGUAUCCCCAUUUCUAAUAUUUGGAGCAGCUUCUGAGCAUUUUUCAAUUUUUCUUUAAACAUUUUUGAAAUAUAACGAUCAAAGAUAUUUGGUCCAGGAUUUUCUUUGUUGAUAGUUUUAUUAUUAUUAUUAUUAUUAUUAUUAUUAUUAUAGAUUCAGGCUCUUUCCUAAUGCUUUAUUACCUAUUUUUUCCUGAUUUAGUUUCAGUGGAAACUAGCUUAUUUCAAUAUUUUUAUAGUAUUUAUUAAGCCUUCUCAUCUUUCAUCUGGUUCUUUCUAUAAUGUGUCAUUUUCUCCAUCUUCAUUUAAAUCUUUCUAUAGCUUCAAACCUCAAAUGCUUCUUAUUGGUAUUAUGACUGAUUAUUUUUAUGGACUUAUCUAACUUGCUGAACUAUGUGUAGAGUAGCAUAAGGAUCCAGUUACUGUAUUUAUUUCCCGUACCUUUUGUGUGUAUGUAGGUGUUUGUCUGAACGUGUGGUCUUUGUACCACCUUGUGCAGUGUUUACAGUCACCUAUGUAUGGUUAAGGUUCUCGGGGACUAGAGUUACAGAUAGUUGUGAGCCACUGCAUGGCUGCUAGAAACCAACUUCGCUCCUCUGGAGGAGCAGCCACUGAUUCAGGCCCUAACCAGUAUUUCUGUUUUGUUGUUUUAUUGCCACUUAAAAGUUUGCCCCACUUGUGAUCUUACAUUUUUCAAUUUAAAAAAUUACAGCACAGAUAGCUUUCAAUUUAUAAUCAGUUUGAAAGUGUUUCAAAUAUUAUUUCAUAAAACAUUUUAUGAUACUGGGUAUCACAAUCUUACCCAAAUUAAACAAAAUAUGUCUUUAGGAAAAGAAGAAAUUACAGGCCAAUUUAUCCUAAAAAAAAAAAAAAAAAAGAACAGAACACUUUUUAAUAAAAUACUAACAAAACCAAAAUCAUCACUAUAUGUAAUUAAUUAAUGGCAUGCAGAAGUUUUUUUCAAAGGAAUGGAAGGUUAGACCUGAAAGCUGGUAAAAAGAAUGCAUUGCAUUCUAAAUUUUACUCAUCGAUAUUGAAUAAAAUUCUUACAUUUUGUUAUGUUUCUAUGAAGAAAAAUCUCUUAAAAAUAGAACGAUAACACUAAAGCUAUUUAAAUGCAAUGUUAGGGUUUUGUUAAUGUAGAGAAAACAAUUUUCAUUUUCAAAUGUUUGGGUUAUAUGAUAAUGUGUAGAGUUCUUUAGUGAUGACAUGAUUUUUUUUUUUCUUGAGCUACAAAAAGUCCCAAAGUAGAAAUUAAGUUUAAAUUUUUCUAAAUCCUUAAUUAAUUAAAAAAAAAGUUUCAUGCUGAGUGUGGUGGCCAAAGGCAGGUGAAUCUCUGUGCGUGUAGGGCAGCCUGGUAUUCAUUGCAAGUACCAGGCCAUCCAGUGCUACAUAGUGAGCCCCUGUCAACCAAUGAAGCAGAGACAAAGAAACAAACC